GGCACGCCCGAAGUCGUUACUCCAACCCGCAAGGGAGGAGGAUGCCGAAGGUGGGGCUGAUGACUGGGGUGAAGUCGUAACAAGGUAGCCGUACCGGAAGGUGCGGCUGGAUCACCUCCUAACAGGGAGACAAAACUGAUCAUGAUGUCUGAGUGCUGCGAGGGCAAUAUGCCAUCAAAGCAACCAAUCAUCUUAGGCCAUGAUCCUGUCAUCUCUAGGUCGAUCGGUACCUCAAUCGAGGUCUCUGCACCAAACAGCGGGAGUCAUCCAGUUGCGAGGAGCAGAGGAAUCGGAUCAGUUCCUAAACUUUGUCUAGGUCACCCCCUAGAGGGUAAAGACUCCUGGGCCAUUAGCUCAGGUGGUUAG
This 366-nucleotide unclassified non-coding RNA is filed under the name uncultured cyanobacterium. Its description in RNAcentral is "partial contains 16S ribosomal RNA and 16S-23S ribosomal RNA intergenic spacer". The stretch from base 1 to 122 matches the Rfam family "Bacterial small subunit ribosomal RNA", at positions 1414 to 1533 of the family's 1533-position model. The record is from RNAcentral. Lineage: Bacteria; Bacillati; Cyanobacteriota.